GAUGAACGCUGGCGGCGUGCCUAAUACAUGCAAGUCGAGCGAACGGACGAGAAGCUUGCUUUUCUGAUGUUAACGGCGGACGGGUGAGUAACACGUGGAUAACCUACCUAUAAGACUGGGAUAACUUCGGGAAACCGGAGCUAAUACCGGAUAAUAUUUUGAACCGCAUGGUUCAAAAGUGAAAGACGGUCUUGCUGUCACUUAUAUAUGGAUCCGCGCUGCAUUAGCUAGUUGGUAAGGUAACGGCUUACCAAGGCAACGAUGCAUAGCCGACCUGAGAGGGUGAUCGGCCACACUGGAACUGAGACACGGUCCAGACUCCUACGGGAGGCAGCAGUAGGGAAUCUUCCGCAAUGGGCGAAAGCCUGACGGAGCAACGCCGCGUGAGUGAUGAAGGUCUUCGGAUCGUAAAACUCUGUUAUUAGGGAAGAACAUAUGUGUAAGUAACUGUGCACAUCUUGACGGUACCUAAUCAGAAAGCCACGGCUAACUACGUG
RNAcentral lists this ribosomal RNA (497 nucleotides) under uncultured bacterium. RNAcentral describes it as "partial 16S ribosomal RNA". It matches the Rfam family "Bacterial small subunit ribosomal RNA", at positions 28 to 507 of the family's 1533-position model. The record is from RNAcentral.